RNAcentral lists this non-coding RNA (222 nucleotides) under Erinaceus europaeus (western European hedgehog). RNAcentral's name for it is "Eukaryotic small subunit ribosomal RNA". It matches the Rfam family "Eukaryotic small subunit ribosomal RNA", at positions 1188 to 1410 of the family's 1831-position model. Lineage: Eukaryota; Metazoa; Chordata; Mammalia; Eulipotyphla; Erinaceidae. The record is from Rfam by way of RNAcentral.
GCUUGAUUUGACUCAACACAGGAAACCUCGUCUGGCUCAGAUGUGGACACGGUUGACAGACUAAUGACUCUGUCUUGAUUCUGUGGCGUGGUGACGCCUGGCCCUUCUCAGUGGGUGUAUCGAAUUGCCUGGUUAAUGCCAGUCACAAGGGAGGGCUGGGGGUGGGGGAGAUAGCAUCAUGGUUAUGCUCAAAGACUGCUAUGCCUGAGAAGCCAGAGUCCC